RNAcentral lists this ribosomal RNA (273 nucleotides) under uncultured Acinetobacter sp. RNAcentral's name for it is "partial 16S ribosomal RNA". It matches the Rfam family "Bacterial small subunit ribosomal RNA", at positions 524 to 796 of the family's 1533-position model. The record is from RNAcentral. Lineage: Bacteria; Pseudomonadati; Pseudomonadota; Gammaproteobacteria; Moraxellales; Moraxellaceae.
UACAGAGGGUGCGAGCGUUAAUCGGAUUUACUGGGCGUAAAGCGUGCGUAGGCGGCUUUUUAAGUCGGAUGUGAAAUCCCUGAGCUUAACUUAGGAAUUGCAUUCGAUACUGGGAAGCUAGAGUAUGGGAGCGGAUGGUAGAAUUCCAGGUGUAGCGGUGAAAUGCGUAGAGAUCUGGAGGAAUACCGAUGGCGAAGGCAGCCAUCUGGCCUAAUACUGACGCUGAGGUACGAAAGCAUGGGGAGCAAACAGGAUUAGAAACCCCGGUAGUCC